This 1519-nucleotide long non-coding RNA is filed under the name Canis lupus familiaris (dog). RNAcentral describes it as "lncRNA (ENSCAFG00000053590.1)". Lineage: Eukaryota; Metazoa; Chordata; Mammalia; Carnivora; Canidae. The record is from RNAcentral.
GCACUUUAUUCCUGGUAUUAAAUCCUUUUUUUUUUCUUAUUUUUUUAAAUCCUUUUUUUUUUUUAAAAAACAUCUAGUAUAGUUUCUGUCUUAUGCACUGAACUCUUGUCUGAUACAGAGUACCACAAAAGAUUAAAAAAAAAAAAAAAAGACCUACAGUAGACAUGUCCUGCUGACAUUUAAUUUCAGUAAUGAAGGAGUAAAAUCUGGGCAAAGACAUUAGCAAGAGGAGGGCAUUUGAAUUAAAAUAAUGGUUCGUCUCUGUAACACUGAAUACCAAGAGAAUUAGAGUGGUAUCAAGUUUAGGAAAUGAGGCAUGCUCCUCUAAAAGAUUCAUAAUACAUAAUUGUGCGGUACAGGUUCUGAGAAGCUUGUAAUAGGGAAGCAUGCUUAAUUUUGUUCACCUUCAUAUUUCCCAAACUCAGAAAGAUAGCCAUUAUUUGGGGAAUGCUAGUUUACUUCAAUUUGAGAGGGAAAAUACUAAGUCCUAAUAACUAUUCUUAAAGUAACCUAGUUCUUAUAAUACCUUACUAAGGAAAUAUAUGAGACACCAAAAAAAAAAAAAAAUCAAAAUUUGAAAAGCAGAGGCAGAAAAGUCAACAAGCAGUAAAACCAAUAAAAUUGUUAAUGUCUAAGUAAUUGUUAAUAUGGUUAUUAAACUUAAUAUUCAUAUGAGGCAAAAGUCUUGAAAGGGAAGAUAAAGUAAAAUAAUAACAAUUAAUUUAAGAGCCUAUAACGUUUCAACAAAAAACUAAGAAGUGGAAAAGAAGGAAUGAAAAAAGUAUGCUAAUUUUUAUAUUCUACACUGAGGAAGGUCUAAAGGUUUAGAUUUAUUCUUGACACUGAUAGAAAAAUUUGGGAAAUAAAUGAAAGAAUGAGUACAUACAUACAUGUUUAAUUUUAAAGUAACAUCGGGCAGCCCGGGUGGCUCAGUGGUUUAGCACCACUUUGGGCCCAGGGCCUGAUCCUGGAGACCCGGGAUGGAGUCCGAUGUCAGGCUCCCUGCACGGAGCCUGCUUCUCCCUCUGCCUGUGUCUCUCCUUCUCUCUCUCACUCUGUCUCAUGAAUAAAUAAAUAAAAUCUUUAAAAAAAAAUUAAAAUAACAUAAAAGUAUCAAGAUUAGCAGCUUUCAAAUUAACAGAGAGAAAGAUAAAAACUUAAGCAAAAAAUCAAGAAAUCCUAUUAUUAGAGGACAAAUGUAAAAAAAAAACCCAGUAGUAAUAACUAUAAGUGUAAAAAGCUAAAACACUGUACUGGCUUUUUAAAAAAUCCAACAAUAUGUUCUUUAUAAGCAAUCUAUGAAAAACAUUAUAUGGAAAGCAUAAAAGAAACCGAGGGACAGACAAAGAUGUAAUGAGAAAUUCAAAUUAAAGCAAAGUAGGAGGUCUUGAUACCAAUACCAAAAUGAAAUUUAAGUUAGAAGGUAGUUGGAGAUAACUGGGUGAUGGACAUAAAGGAGGGCAUGUGAUGUAAUGAGCACUGGGUAUUAUACAAGAUUGAUGAAUCACUGACCUCCACC